AUUGAACGCUGGCGGCAGGCCUAACACAUGCAAGUCGAACGAGUGGCGGACGGGUGAGUAAUGUCUGGGAAACUGCCUGAUGGAGGGGGAUAACUCCUGGAAACGGUAGCUAAUACCGCAUACCCUCAGAUGUGCCCAGAUGGGAUUAGCUAGUUGGUGGGGUAACGGCUCACCAAGGCGACGAUCCCUAGCUGGUCUGCGAGGAUGACCAGACACACGGGAACUGAGACAAGGUCCAGACUCCUACGGGAGGCAGCAGGGGGGAAUAUUGCACAAUGGGCGCAAGCCUGAUGCAGCAAGGCCGCGUGUAGGAAGAAGGCCUUCGGGUUGGAAAGUACUUUCAGCGGGGAGGCGUUACCCGCAGAAGAAGCACCGGCUAACUCCGUGCCAGCAGCCGCGGUAAUAC
Molecule: ribosomal RNA, 406 nt
Filed under: uncultured bacterium
Lineage: Bacteria
Description: partial 16S ribosomal RNA
Rfam family: Bacterial small subunit ribosomal RNA
Source: RNAcentral